This is a long non-coding RNA of Orussus abietinus, 816 nucleotides long. RefSeq lists it as uncharacterized. The transcript has 3 exons. Lineage: Eukaryota; Metazoa; Arthropoda; Insecta; Hymenoptera; Orussidae. The record is from RefSeq and is a predicted model, not a curated record.
GAACAAGUUUAUGCAUAAUCUAGUUCAUUAAUAGCUUAAAUAGUAUCGGCUGAUUCCAACCUGAUACCCUUCUAUUGUUACAGAAUCGAACGAGACUUUGUUAGCUAAUAUUCGAAUAUAACCGACCAGACAACAAUUAGUACCCAACACGUAAUCUGAAGCAGAAAUCUCAAGUAACCUAAAUCGUAGUGUAAAUUUCACGUAAUGAGGAACAGCCAAUUGCGUAUUACCUUCCUAAGUUGGUUGGCAAAAAGAGUAGUAUGACAGGGGUUUUCGAAUAUGCAAUAACAUGAUUUCCCUUUGAUUAGAGUCUUAUUUUGUAGUGAGAACGUGAUCCCUUCAAAUUUAAUACGUUUCAAGUGUCAUUGAUGGUCCUUAUUCAAUCAGAGUACAAUAACGGUCGAGUUGCGUCGUUAUCAGAAAAAGCUCAUACUUUGUGUAUUGGUUGAAUAAUAAUUGCCUUGUAUGUAAUUUAAUCGAAAUCUAAGACAUCAUUAUUUAUAUAUUAGGUGGAAAUAAGUGAGCCCAGCAUAAAGUGGGUUUGUUAGGUGACACACUAAUGAACAGAAACAAUUUGGAAAAUGUCGGACAAAGAGAAUCUUGAUGUUCAAGAAGUAAGCGGUAAUGAUAAUGGGAAUCGAUUAAAUACGGAUGUUUGUAGUAUGGAAGAGCGAUCCGAAUAUUUUAAACAGCUGGAAAAAUGGUUACAAGAAGUGUACACAUGGCAGAGUGUGGUUGCAAUGUUUCCAUAUUAUGUCAUGUCUAGUCAGAUAUUUACUCCUAAUGGUAUGAAAUACACUUAUUCAUACGGUUAUU